GAUGAAGAACGUAGCGAAAUGCGAUAAGUAAUGUGAAUUACAGAAUUCAGUGAACCAUCGAAUCUUUGAACGCACAUUGCGCCCGGCAGUAAUCUGCCGGGCAUGCCUGUCCGAGCGUCAUUUCUCCCCUCGAGCGCAGCUUUCCCCCCCGGGGGAGGGCCGCGCCCGGUGUUGGGGCGCUACGGAGGAGCCCAGCGCUCCCCCGUAGGCCCCGAAAUGUAGUGGCGGUCCCGCCGCGGCGCCCCCUGCGUAGUAGUUUUACAACUCGCAUCGGGUCCCGGCGGAGGCCAGCCGUCAAACCCCCCAACUUCAAUAGUUUGACCUCGGAUCAGGUAGGGUUACCCGCUGAACUUAAGCAUAUCAAUAAGCGGAGGA
Molecule: unclassified non-coding RNA, 375 nt
Filed under: soil metagenome
Description: partial contains 5.8S ribosomal RNA, internal transcribed spacer 2, and large subunit ribosomal RNA
Rfam family: 5.8S ribosomal RNA (bases 1-120)
Source: RNAcentral